GUCGUAAAAGGGGACGCGGAGGAGAAGGAAAGUCGCUCAAGCAGUGGACAGAGCGGAGAAAGCGACUUCGGCCGCAGAGAGAAGAAGCUGCCCAAGAAUGGAAAGGAAGAAAUAUAUCACAUCAUCUGUCUGUCCACAGGCUUUCCUUGGGGCUUAUGAAGUGAAUGAAGGAGGGAAGAAAGGAGAGACAGAGAAAAUAUGGAUUUCCUCAUGGUUGUGAUUCCUCUUCACUCUUUUGAAUUUGGAAGGAUGGCAUACACAUCUGAAAAAUACCACUACUUCCUUCAUUGGACUGCAAGGUAUUUCUGUUUGGAAAAGUAAUGGAGUCCAGUCAACUUCAUUGAUCGCCAAGGACUGUCAAAAUUAUAAAACUUGCUGUGGAGCUCUGACAUGCCAGAAGCCGCUAGAAAAAGAAGUUUGACAUUCAGAAACUUAUCAAGAGGUUCUACUCUUUGGAUAGAGACCAAAAUCAUACUUUGAAAAAGCCUGACAGGUUUCUUCGGAAAAGUGGCCAUCCAUGGAAUGAAUGAAAUGUUCUCUUUCUAUUCCAGGGAUUGCAGUGGCAAAGCUAGGCUAGGUCUUGGAGGCUGGUGUAAGGCGAUGUGGGUGAAGGCAGGAGGCUGAUGGAAAGACUGGGGGGAAGAAAAGCCGAAAUGGAUUCACGGUGCCUUGGAUGAAGGACGAGAGGGGAACUGCAAGCUCCUUCAACUGGUUCUGUCCGGUGAGAAGUGAUCAAGCUUGGGCUGACAAGAGGCUCAGGGAGCCCUCACGUUCUUUCGCUUUUUUACCUGCCAAUCAAACUGCUACAAGACAACACCCUGAUCUGGCAUGGACAU
This 836-nucleotide long non-coding RNA is filed under the name Homo sapiens (human). RNAcentral describes it as "non-protein coding SOX2-OT:3". The stretch from base 561 to 836 matches the Rfam family "SOX2 overlapping transcript exon 3". The record is from RNAcentral. Lineage: Eukaryota; Metazoa; Chordata; Mammalia; Primates; Hominidae.